GUGUCAGCAGCCGCGGUAAGACGGAGGAGGCGAGCGUUAUCCGGAUUUACUGGGCGUCAAGGGCGCGUAGGCGGCUUGACAGGUCGUGGGUGAAAGCCCCGGGCUCAACCCGGGGAGGUCCUGCGAUACCAUCAGGCUUGAGGAUCGUAGAGGGGGGCGGAAUUCCCGGUGGAGCGGUGGAAUGCGUAGAUAUCGGGAGGAACACCCGAGGCGAAGGCGGCCCCCUGGGCGACACCUGACGCUGAGGCGCGAAAGCGUGGGGAGCAAAGCGGAUUAGAAACCCUGGUAGUCC
This 292-nucleotide ribosomal RNA is filed under the name uncultured bacterium. Its description in RNAcentral is "partial 16S ribosomal RNA". It matches the Rfam family "Bacterial small subunit ribosomal RNA", at positions 505 to 796 of the family's 1533-position model. The record is from RNAcentral.